This 406-nucleotide ribosomal RNA is filed under the name uncultured bacterium. RNAcentral's name for it is "partial 16S ribosomal RNA". It matches the Rfam family "Bacterial small subunit ribosomal RNA", at positions 28 to 526 of the family's 1533-position model. The record is from RNAcentral.
GUUGAACGCUGGCGGCAGGCCUAACACAUGCAAGUCGAGCGAACGGCGGACGGGUGAGUAAUGUAUGGGCAUCUGCCUGAUCUAGCGGGCUAACUACUGGAAACGGUGGCUAAUACCGCAUACUAUCCGAUGGACCCAUAGGGGAUUAGCUAGUAGGUGGGGUAACGGCUCACCAAGGCGACGAUAUCUAGCUGGUCUGAGAGGAUGAUCAGCAACACUGGGACUGAGACACGGCCCAGACUCCUACGGGAGGCAGCAGUGGGGAAUAUUGCACAAUGGGCGCAAGGCUGAUGCAGCCAUGCCGCGUGGAUGAAGAAGGCCUUCGGGUUGUAAAGUACGUUCAGCGGGGAGGCGUUACCCGCAGAAGAAGCACCGGCUAACUCCGUGCCAGCAGCCGCGGUAAUAC